GGUCAGGGUAGGUGUGGCCAAUGGGCGUGGUCUGGUUGGGUGUGGGCAACAUGGGUAGUCAAUGGGUGGGGUCAUUGUGGGUGUGGCCAAUGGGCGUGGUCAGGGUGGCUGUAGGCGUGGCCAUGAUGGGUGUGGUCAGUGUGGGUGUGGCUUGGGGUGUGGUCAUUGUGGGCGUGGUCAUGAUGGGUGUGGUCAGUGUGGGUGUGGUCUGGUUGGGUGUGGGCAACAUGGGUGGCCAAUGGGUGUGGUCAUUGUGGGUGUGGCCAAUGGGCGUGGUCAGGGUGACUGGGCGUGGCCAUGAUGGGUGUGGCCACUAUGGGUGUGGUCAUUGUGGGCGUGGCUUUGGAUGUGGGAGUGGUCAGUGUGGGUGUGGUCAAUGUGGGCGUGGUCUGGUUGGGUGUGGGCAACAUGGGUGGUCAAUGGGUGUGGUCAUUGUGGUGGGUGUGGUCAAGGUGGGAGUGGCCAUUGUCAGUGUGGUCGUGGCCAAUGGGCGUGGCCUGGGUGGGUGUGGUCAUUGUGGGCGUGGUCUGGGUGGGUGUGGGCAACAUGGGUGGUCAAUGGGUGUGGUCAAUGUGGGUGUGGUCAUUGUGGGCGUAGCCAGGAUACCUGUGGGCGUGGCCAUGAUGGGUGUGACCACUGGGCAUGGUCUUGGUGGGUGUGGUCAUUGUGGGCGUGGCUUGGGGUGUGGUCAAUGUGGGCGUGGUCAAGGUGGGAGUGGUCAGGUUGGUGUGGCCAAUGGGCGUGGCAUGGGUGGGUGUGGUCACUGUGGGCGUGGUCAGGGUGAUUGUGGGCGUGGCCGGGGUGGACAUGGCCAAUGUGGGCGUGGUCUGAAUGGAUGUGGGUGUGGCCAAUGUGGGCGUGGUCUGGGUGGGUGUGGUCAGGGUGGGCGUGGUCAGGUGGGGGUGGGCAUAUGGGUGUGGGUGUGGUCAGGGUGGGCGUGGCCUGGGUGGGUUUGGGUAAUGUGGGCGUGGUCUGAGUGGGUCCAAUGUGGGCGUGGCCACGGUGGGCGUGGCCUGAGUGGGGUUGGGCUUGUCCAUAGUGGGCGUGACCUCGAUGGGCGUUUCCAGGGUGGGCGUGGCCUGAGAGGGGAUGGGCUUGUCCAUAGUGGGCGUGUCCCGGGUGGGCGUGUCCCGGGUGGGCGUG
RNAcentral lists this long non-coding RNA (1143 nucleotides) under Lonchura striata (white-rumped munia). RNAcentral describes it as "domestica (Bengalese finch) lncRNA (ENSLSDG00000003606.1)". Lineage: Eukaryota; Metazoa; Chordata; Aves; Passeriformes; Estrildidae. The record is from RNAcentral.